GACGAACGCUGGCGGCGUGCUUAACACAUGCAAGUCGAACGGAAAGGCCCUGCUAUUGUGGGGUGCUCGAGUGGCGAACGGGUGAGUAACACGUGAGUAACCUGCCCUUGACUUUGGGAUAACUUCAGGAAACUGGGGCUAAUACCGGAUAGGAGCUCCUGCUGCAUGGUGGGGGUUGGAAAGUUUCGGCGGUUGGGGAUGGACUCGCGGCUUAUCAGCUUGUUGGUGGGGUAGUGGCUUACCAAGGCUUUGACGGGUAGCCGGCCUGAGAGGGUGACCGGCCACAUUGGGACUGAGAUACGGCCCAGACUCCUACGGGAGGCAGCAGUGGGGAAUAUUGCACAAUGGGCGGAAGCCUGAUGCAGCAACGCCGCGUGCGGGAUGACGGCCUUCGGGUUGUAAACCGCUUUCGCCUGUGACGAAGCGUGAGUGACGGGAAUGGGUAAAGAAGCACCGGCUAACUACGU
Molecule: ribosomal RNA, 467 nt
Filed under: uncultured bacterium
Lineage: Bacteria
Description: partial 16S ribosomal RNA
Rfam family: Bacterial small subunit ribosomal RNA
Source: RNAcentral